Molecule: ribosomal RNA, 495 nt
Filed under: uncultured bacterium
Lineage: Bacteria
Description: partial 16S ribosomal RNA
Rfam family: Bacterial small subunit ribosomal RNA
Source: RNAcentral
GACGAACGCUGGCGGCGUGCCUAAUACAUGCAAGUCGAACGCUGAAGGAGGAGCUUGCUCUUCUGGAUGAGUUGCGAACGGGUGAGUAACGCGUAGGUAACCUGCCUGUUAGCGGGGGAUAACUAUUGGAAACGAUAGCUAAUACCGCAUACCAGCAGCUGUUGCAUGACUUUUGCUUAAAAGGUGCAUUUGCUUCACUACCAGACGGACCUGCGUUGUAUUAGCUAGUUGGUGGGGUAACGGCUCACCAAGGCGAGGAUACAUAGCCGACCGGAGAGGGUGAGUGGCCGAACUGGGACGGUGACACGCCCCAGACGCACUGAGAAGGCGGCAGGAGUGAUACGUCAGGAAUGGGUGGAAGGCAGACCGAGAAACGCCGGGUGAGUGAGGAAGGAUGUCGGGUGGGAAAUCACGGUUGUCAGAGUAGAAACAGGAUGAGAUUGGAAAGUACACACAGUGACGGUAUCUUACCAGAAAGGAACGGCUAACUACGUG